UAAUAUGGCCACACCACCCUGUAAACACUCGAUCUCCUCUGAUCUCAGAAUCUAAGCAGGGUCAGGCUCGGUUAGUCCUUGGAUGGGAGAUUNUCUGGGAACGCAAGCCAGAUCAG
This 116-nucleotide ribosomal RNA is filed under the name Amazona aestiva (blue-fronted amazon). Lineage: Eukaryota; Metazoa; Chordata; Aves; Psittaciformes; Psittacidae. The record is from RNAcentral.